CAAACUCGACAUUGACGCCACGGAGACU
RNAcentral lists this small RNA (28 nucleotides) under Bombyx mori (domestic silkworm). Its description in RNAcentral is "ovarian small RNA-12745". The record is from RNAcentral. Lineage: Eukaryota; Metazoa; Arthropoda; Insecta; Lepidoptera; Bombycidae.